Molecule: long non-coding RNA, 30419 nt
Filed under: Vitis vinifera (wine grape)
Lineage: Eukaryota; Viridiplantae; Streptophyta; Magnoliopsida; Vitales; Vitaceae
Description: long non-coding RNA (VVIN_LNC003777)
Source: RNAcentral
UCAAUAUCACCUAGGGAAAACGAAUGUUGUGGCUGACGCCUUAAGCAGGAAAUCUGUUGGUUCUUUAGCAGCUAUUAGAGGUUGUCAGAGGCAAUUAUUGGGAGAUUUGAGGAGUUUUCAAGUACAUAUGAGAGUUUUGGACUCGGGAGCUCUUGUGGCGAACUUUAGAGUGCAACCAAACUUAGUUGGGAGAAUUAAGGCCCUACAAAAGAAUGAUUUGAAUUUAGUGCAACUUAUGGAAGAGGUUAAAAAGGGCAGUAAGCCUGACUUUGUUUUAUCAGAUGAUGGGAUUUUGAGGUUUAGGACUAGACUUUGUGUCCCAAAUGAUGGAGACUUAAGGAGAGAGCUUUUGGAGGAAGUUCAUUGUUCUAGGCUUGCGAUCCACCCAAGAGGGACAAAGAUGUACAAAGAUUUGAGACAGAAUUAUUGGUGGUCAGGUAUGAAGCGAGAUAUUGCGCAAUUUGUGGCUCAGUGUUUGGUGUGUCAACAAGUGAAAGCUGAGCAUUAACGACCAACAGGGUUUUUGCAACCACUUUCUAUUCCCGAGUGGAAAUGAGAACAUAUUACUAUGGAUUUUGUGACUGGGUUACCAAGGACCUUAAGGGGCAAUAAUGCAAUUUGGGUGAUUGUUGAUCGAUUAACAAAGUCUACUCAUUUUCUACCUAUGAAAGUUAAUUUUUCUAUGGAUCGUUUGGCUUCUCUUUAUAUUAAGGAGAUUGUGAGAAUGCAUGACAUACCUAUUUCUAUAGUAUCUGACAAAGAUCCUCAUUUCACUUCCAGAUUUUGGCAUAGUUUAUAGAAAGCAUUAGGUACUAAGUUGAGUUUUAGUACUGCUUUUCAUCCGCAGACUGAUUGUCAAUCAGAGAGGGUAAUUCAGGUCUUGGAAGAUUUGUUGAGAGCUUGUGCUUUGGACCUAAAAGGUAAUUGGGAUGAUUAUUUGCCCCUAGUGGAGUUUGCCUAUAAUAAUAGCUUUCAAGCUAGCAUUGGGAUGACAACUUUUGAGGCGUUGUUGGUAGGAGAUGUCGAUCUCCUGUUUGUUGGGAUGAUGUUGAAGAGAAGAAACUUUUGGGGCCUGAACUUGUGCAGUUGACUAUUGAAAAUGUCUCUUUAAUUAAGGAAAGAUUGAAAGCAGCACAGAGUAGACAGAAGAGUUAUGCUGAUAAUCGCAGACGAGAUUUGGAGUUUGAGGUGGGUGAUCAUGUUUUCUUGAAAGUUUCACCUAUGAAGUCUAUAAUGAGAUUUGGAAGAAAAGGGAACUCAGUCCUUAUUUUGUGGGACCAUUUGAGGUAUUAGAAAGAGUAGACACUUUGGCUUAUAAAGUGGCCUUGCCCCCAAGUCUAUCUAAGAUUCAUAAUGUAUUCCAUGUUUUGACCUUGAGGAAAUAUAUUUAUGAUCCCUCUCAUGUUGUGGAGUUGGAGCCUAUUCAAAUUUCUGAGGACUUGACCUAUGAAGAGGUACCCGUUCAAAUUGUGGAUGUGAUGGAUAAGGUACUAUGACAUGCUAUUGUCAAGUUGGUAAAGGUCCAGUGGAACAAUCAUAGUAUCCGAGAGGCCACUUGGGAGUUAGAAGAAGAUAUGAGAGAAAAUCAUCCUCAAUUAUUUCAAGACUCAAGUAUGUCAAGUUUAGAGGAGGGGAGGUUGUAACGCCCAAGUUUUUUUUUUUUUUUAGGGGCAAUUUAGGAAAUAUUAAUAAUAUUAAAUUAAUUAAUUAUUUAUUUUACUAAAAUGGAAAAAGGGUGAAAAGGUAAUUUUAUGAAUAAUACCCUAGGUAUAAAUUAGAAUUUUGUUCUUCCUAUUUUUUUCUGAAUCGCGUUUCUGUUCGCAAAGAGUUUUUGAGAACGUAAGAUUGGAGUCGGAUUUUAGGGUUUGAAGAACAGAUUUCUAUAGGUAAGAUUAUAACCUCUAGAUUAAUAUUUUAAAUUCCUUAGUUAAUUUCAAACACAUUAGAUAUUUUUUGGAAAAUCUAAAUCUAGGUUAGGGUUUGUUUAUUUAACUUUUAGAUCAAAAUGUUUGAAAAUUUGUAAGUUUAUGUUGAUUUAUUGAUGAAGAUAGGAAAAUUUCAAAAAUUUCAAUGGAAUAGAAAAAUAAAUAAAUAAAUUUGAAAUGAAAAAAAAAUCAGAGGAAGAAAAGAAAUUUUAGAUUUAUAUAAUAAAUAAAUAAGUCGUUUGUGGAGGCUUUAGAUUGAAAGGAAAAUAAAUAAAUAAAUAAACAACAAUGGGAAUGUGUGGAUCCGUUGGGUGUGGAGUAUAUGUUUUCUUAUUUAAUGUUUAAUGGUUGGUGUGUGCUGGAGAUGGUAGGAUAGGUGUGGAAAGUGAGGUUUUGAAAGAAAAAAAAAAAACAUGUGGUAGAAUAGUGAUUAAAAAGAAAAUGCGGAGAUCAUGGAGACAUACUGUGUGUGGGUUUGGUUAUGUGGUUGAAAAGUCAAUGACUUGUAAUAUUGAGGGCGGAAAAGAAAAAGGAUAUAUUGAGGAUUGUGGGAUAAUCUUAUUAAAAUAUGAAGUAGGUCAUAGGAAAAGUUGGAAUAAAUAAUUAAAGAAAUAAAUUCUUAUAUAAAGUGAUGAAAGAGAUUAUUGUAAAUAAAUAUUUUUAGGAAAUUCAAUUUAGUUUAGGAAAGAGAAAUAAAUUAUUGAGGAUAAAUUGUUAUUGGUUAAAAAGUUGGAAAAUAAUUUUUGUAAUAAUAAUAUUGACUUAAAAAAAUAAUAAUAAUAAAAUAAAAAAUAAAUAAAUAAAUUGUAGGAUUCCCAAACCUAUUUUAAAUGAAUAGUCAAUAGUGUGGAUAGUACCUUUUUGUUAUGUUAGGUGAGAAGUAAAUUUUGGGACCAAACUUUUCAAGAUUUGGAAUGCUUAUUUGAGGUAAGGGAAAUUAGUGCAGUUGUUAAAAUUUUUUUUUUAAACAAUUUUAUAUAUAUAUAUAUAUAUAUAUAUAUAUAUAUAUAUAUACAUUAUUUGAAAACGUUUAAGUUAUAUUCCGUUAUAUGCAUGGAUCAAACCUGUUUUGCAUGAAAAGUAUGUUAGUUAUAUUUUGUUUUUGACAAAUAAAUGUAGAGAUAUUAUAUGUUGUAAAUUUGAAUAAAUGAAAUAAAUAUUUGACUCUGAUUUGUUUGGCCCUUGUCAACGGGAUAUAAUAGUUGACUUUUGGCCAUUGUCAAUGGGAUAUAAUAGUUUACCUUUACAUUUCUUGAUGGGGAAUGUAAUUAAUUUGAACCCCAGCCUCUAGGGGUUUUGGUUAGAGGUUACUAGUACUAGUAGUGUUUGGUUCCGUCCACCUUAAAGGAACAAUUUGAGGCUAGCCACCCAUUUGAAAAGUUCCACCUAACUGGGCACCCUUUGAUGUUUGAUGACCAAAGUAAAUAAAUUAGUGGAAUGUUUUGACUGAAUUUGAUAUAAAAAUGUUUGAAUCAGAAAUAAAUGCAUAUAGUUAGAAAUUUUGAAUGUAUUGGCAAAAAAAAUAAAAAUUAACUCACAGGUUUAUGAGAAUGAUUGAUUACAAUAUCUCAUAUUUUGCAAGUGAGUUUGAAAUAUUUGAUUCAUGGACUGCAUUAAUGUUCCUUAUUGGGUUGUGAGUUCAUUCCUAUUUGUUGACUACUUUUCAAGUAUCCUUAGUUCGGGUGAGGAGUGAUGGCUAGGUUGAGGAAUGGUCAUCAUUAGGAUUUGACUUAGGAUUUUAUAUUGGAUUUUGUUUAAUUGUUAGUUAUGUUCAUUUGGAUCUUUUGGUAUUUGGAAUCUAUUUGGAUAUUGAUCCUUUAAAUUUUAUGUUAGUUCAAAGUUGAGUUUUGGAGAUUUUGAAAUAUGUUUUAGUACUUGAAUUGUUUAAGUUUGCAAAUAUUUGGACAAUGGAUUUUGGAUAGUGGAUGUUUUAGUUAACAAAAUCGAAUUUUGAGGAUUUUAGAUUUUGUUUCGCUACUUUGAACAGGUAUUUGGUAAUUGGUAACUUUCGAUUACAAGAUAAUUGUUUGGGUCAGGUUACGUUGUAAGCCUUCGAGUUUGAAGUGUGAAAUGACCGUCAUGCCCUUUGAGUGGGUCUUGGGGCGUGACACGAACAAUGUCCCUUCAUACCAUAUCUAUAACAAUUAUUCUCAUGAUUCUUAGGAGGUUUAUCUUGUAAACACUUCCCAUUUUCUUGUUUUGCCUCAGAAUUGUUCCACUUCUGGUGGUGCAAUGAGGCUUUCCUUUUAUGAGAAUUUUAGGAAUUAUUACCAUACGAACCAUGGUUUGGGGAUUUCUUUCACAACCAUGUCCACGAUUUUGGGACGAUAUUGCAUUCACUUCAGGGAAUGAUUCAAAUCUAGUUGGACGAGACUGUGAUUUAUCAUCAAAAGUUCAUUUUUUUAAAACCUUCAUGGAGAUGACGACGAAAGAAAAUCAGUGUUUUUAUGCGAUCCUGCAAGGAUGCUUGAUUUCCUUCUUUGAUCAUAGCUCCAAGAUUCAUUAUAUCAAGAUGUAUUUUAGCGUCAAGGAUUCAAGAUAGAUAGCCCGAAAUGUCAAGUGCCACAAAUUCAAGUUUUGUGAGAUUCGACAUUGUCAAAUAAUUUCAAAUAUAUGACAAAACAAUAUUAUUAGAAUUAGUUAUAAUAAAUUGAUAACAUUGGUAUAACUUUGAUUAUAAACAAAAUCAAAUAAUUUAUUUAUAACUUUUAAGAAUAUGUAACAAAACAAAUCAACAAUAAUAUAAAUAUGUAAAAUUUUAUUCUAUAUAAAUAACUUCAAUUUUAAGAUACGAGAAUUACCUUCAAAGCAAUUCGUGCUGAUAACGUGUUGUGAAAUGAUGAUAAAUGCAACACAAGUCAAAGUAGUAGAGAUAAAAUAUAUAUUACUUUAACAAUAUAUAUAUAUAUAUAUAUAUAUAUAUAUAUAUAAUGGUAAAAAUGAGUCAAAGAAGAGAGUUGAGAGAAUAAAAGACAAAGAGAAUGAGAGAAGAAGAGAAAUUUCUUUCUUACUUAGGGAGGGGAUGGGAAGCUCUUUUAUAGGCUUUCCAAAUGACUUCCAUUAAUAUUCCCAUUAAUAAAUAUUAAUGGAACUCAUAAAUAACAUUAAUGGUUUCCAUUAAUGAGUAUUAAUGGAAGUCAUAAAUAAUACUUAAUUAACAUUUAUUAUAAUUAAUGUGGUGGUAUUCGUUACUUCAGUAUUAACAAUAAUGAAAUAUUAUCUUAUCCAUUUUGAUUAGUCCUAAAAUAGGAAGGAUUAAACAAAUAUAUGAUCAAAUCAAAGUAAUUAUGAUUAUUGACAAUACUUUUAUAAAACACUUCUAGCAUAAAAAACAUUUUCAAAAAAUAAAUUAGAUAUUUGAUAAAAUUUGAAAAAAACUUUUACAAUUCUCCCGAAAAUACUUUUAGAGGGAACACUUCAAAUAAAAACAUUGUCAAACUUUUAUUCUAAAAUAUUUUAAAUUUUAAUGUUUUUCUAAAGAUUUAUUUUUAGAAGAAUCGCUUAUUAAAUUUCUGUUUGACAAUAUUUUUAGAAAACAUUUUUAAUAUAAAAAGUGUUUUUUUUUUUUUUUAAAAAAAAGAGUAAAAUAAACGUUCAACAAAAUUUAGAAAACGCUCUUAAAAAUUUGAAAAAUCAUUUAUAAUAUUUUUUGAAAUAGUAUUUAAUAACUGAUUCUUUAAAUAAACUUGACUUAUAUUUAUAAAUUUUUUUUAUAAAAAUAUUAAUUAAGACAAGAGAAGUAGAAGAAAUUACUGGGAUAUACUUAUUUAAUUAAAUAAUUUUUUAAAGGAAAAUUAUGUUUUCGUAUACACAUGUGGAAUAAACACAAAAUAAAAUUCAAAUUAACAUAUAAAUCUAAAAAUAAUUAAGAUUCUGUGUAACUUUCAAUAAUAUAAAUGAUGCCUUCAUCAUAAAAUCCAAAUUAAUUAUGAAGGAUUACUAUUUCUUUUUCAAAUGAGUGGGGCACAUACUUUUCCCUGUUUCUUAUAUCUUCUCUGAAGCGUGAGAGGAAAAGAAUGAGAUUUUCUUAUAACAAUCAUGCCCAUAACAAAAGCAGCCCUCAAAUCAAAUUGCCUAAUCCAUGGCUGCAGAGCCUGGGAAGUGGGAAAUGGGGAUCAAAGUGGUGCCACAUGGCCUGAGGCCACCGAGCACUAAAGACAAAGUGUGGUGGUGGUGCCUCCAAAGGUAUGUCAAUGAGGCCGGUCAGUGCUUAUCCUACUGCUGUUAGCCAGUCUUGCACCACUCAUUGGAAUCCCAUUUCAAAGCUUGGACCAUCUACAAAACCAGCCUGCCUUUUGCGGCCCUGCUGGUAGGUAGCUCCCAACUCCCAACUCCCCCCACCCUUACCAAACUUAUGGUUGCACUGCCUGCUUUUGAGGGUCUACUCAAUUUUUUAUUUUUUAUUUUUUUAUUUUUUUUAUUUUUUAUUUUUUAUUUUACAAAUCAAAGGUGGACAAUGAACAGAGGAAACCAGCAAAACCAAGUAUAUUUUCGGUAAUGAUUUUGAAAACCAUUAUUAGAAAAUAGUUUUUAAAAAUAUGUUUAUUUAUAACAAAAACUUGAAACGUUCUUAAUCUGUUUCAUGUGUUUUCAAAUAUUUUUUUUCUAAAAUAAUUUUCAUAUGUUGUGUUUUAUUUUCAAUCAUUCUCCAUAUUUAUAUAAUUAUUUUUAAAAAAAUCCCAACAAAACAAAUGAAAACAAUUAAAAUAUAUUUUCAAAAAAUACUUUGUUUUCAAACCAAUCCUCACAAACAUAUUUUAGGAACAAUUAACAACCGAACAUAUUUUCAUAUAUUUUUUUCUAAAAACCAAAAAGCUGUUCUUGAGAACAGAUCCAAACAUAGCCUAGGUCUUCCUGGUUCUUACUUCUCAUAGGGCAAUGGUUCAUGUAUGGUGUGUUAAACAUGUGAGAUCCCAUAUUGUAUAAGGGAAGAUGUUCCUAUCAUUAUACAUAUAUACAGCGAACUUCUCUUAAGUAUGGCCUGCAUGGCAGAAAUGUUCCCCAACUCCUCUGAACCGUGUAAAUAUGAUUUAAAGCGUAGACACGUUUAUGACCAAUAUCUAUGCGAGAGAGGUUGAGGGCCAUUACAAAUCAUACCAACUUAACCAACCUAAGUUAAAACACACUAAGGUACAACGAUCAGCUCAUUCCUCCAAAUGCCUAGAAAGUAUGGAUUCAAGCUAAAAGAAACACGCACAAAAAAAGUAACUGUUUUCUUCAUAGAUCUAUUUGCAGAAAACCAAGUGUACUUGUACACAUGCUAAUAAGAGCUAAACAAAAUUCCUAGCACCAAUUAAUCAGAAUAGCGAUAUGGUCAAUCUUGCAAAAGCAGAAGCUCAAGAACAUCAAACCAAUACAAAUUUGCCCAAUAGAGAAGAAAAAUCAGAUUUCAUUUAUGCGAUAUCGUGGAAAAAUAAUAUGAGAAAUCCUACAAGAUGUUACAAACAACCAGUUGCUAAUUAUGCCUUUCCUAAACUACUCAGCAGAAGAAUCCAGGAUCUCACAAGGCACCUCAACUCGUUGCAGAUGGAGAUGGAUAGUCGCGCAAGUGAUACAUGUAAGCAAAAUUCAAGCACAAUUCACGAUCCCUUUUGUCCCCCCAGCCUCCCCAACCUUUGAACCCAGCUUGAUACCCAGGCUGUUUCUUAUACACAUGCACUCCCCAUUCUGGUUUGAUGUUGACAACCUUAUCAAUGUCUUCUACAUCAAUCUUCACCGAGCCAUGAUCAAUGCAAGCACCCCUCUCCCCCUGGCCCUGAUGAAGACCACACUUCCCAAAGUGAACAGCAGUAGUCCUUGGCCCACGUAGUGUGUAAACAGGGCGACCAAAUGAGGGGAAAACUGUAGCCCACAUUGUUAUAUCCCAGUUGUACUCAUCAAAAGAACAAAAUUCUGUAGCCUUCCUAUGGAUUUUCCUCCACACAGUCCGAUUAAAGGCAUAGCCGAUAUUUCCCAUCCUCUCAGCAAUCAGAUUCUCCCAUCCUUCUCCCUUGGAGUUCACAUCACAUGGUGCUAAAUUCACAGCAUAGCAAUCAGGACAUUUCUUUGGCUUCAGAGCUGUGAGUAGCUGCAGGCUGCGAUAUGCAUUAGGGAAAAUGAAGUGGUCUUCCUCUAUGAAAAGAAUAUGACCCGAGUGACCCCGAGUCUCCUCCAAUCCAUCCCACACUGUGUUCAUCAUCCACCACCAAUGAUGCUUCAAUGACACAAUCUUUGGUGACCUAUGGUUCCCAUACUGAUCAGGAUUUCCUUCACAAUGUUUCUUUCUCGGGUCAUCCUUAUCCUUGCAGUCUGUUGCUGAGAUACCAGGAAAGCUAUUGGGAAAGACAUGGGGAGAGUAGGAAGCAAAUAUCUGUUUCACUUGGCAGAACUCAAUGCCUUCCACAAUCUUGUUCAUCUCCUCAAAAUACCCAUCAUGGCUGACAAUAAGUAAAGUUUCACUAAUCCCCACUACCUGAGAGAGGCUCUGAACUACAACUCGGAGAUACUGAGGUCGAUUGUGAACAUAUAGGACAAUAGUUAUAUGAUCCUUAGCUAGAUUUGGAUAAAGAUCUAUGUUUCUAGGAGGCAUCUGGUUGAGCUUGUCCAAUCUAAUUGACAAUUUAUUCUGUUUAGGAAGAUUAAGUAUUUGUCUAUAAUGGGAGUAGCUAUCAUUCAAUUUGUAGCCUUCAUCUACUUCUUCAUCCUGAGGCCCAUCAACAAAACUUGAAAUUGAAUUCGUUCUAAGGAGAAAAAUCAACAGAAAAACGCCUAACAAAGUAAUCAAAACCACAGCCAAGAAUCUGCGAAGAGCUGCAUAUCUGAUUCUGGGUUUCUUGUUGGAAGCCAUGAAGCCGACAACACACAAAGCCUCAAAACCGUUCUGGGGCAGUUAUGGUUGCAGCUUCUACCGCUUCAAAGUUCAUAAAAAAAACCAGAAAACCCACCAUUCCAAGGAAAGAAAAAUCAAAACUUGAUAAUCAAGCAGUCAAUAAUAAGAAAAACAGCACCAACCCGUUUGAGAAGAGAUUGAAUGAGCAAAAGGGUAAGCGUCAAAAACCUCCAAAACUGCCCUCACAGUGAGAUUGAAGCAUCCAAAGCUUCAUCAGAUUGAAUCCCUGAACUCAAACCUGAAACCCCAGCCCUCAGAUGCUGCAAAUCAAAUGAACAAAAGAAACAAGGUCCUCUUCUAUAUGCAUAUCACAGAUCAGAAGAGGAAAAACCCCAAAUGGGUACUCAAAAAGUCUGAUCUUUAAGCUUUGAAACGUGAUAAAUCUGCGAGAUCAACGGAGGAGAUUACAUGGUUGACCGAGUCUGCACAGCAGAAAACAGACUAGGAAGACUCCCGGGAUACUUGUCAGCAAAAGACUUUGAAAAUGGAAAAUUGUAGUUUAUCUGAUAGUUUAAUAAGAGUUUGGAGUUCUAAAUCCGGAAACUUCAAGAGAAGCCCUGAAUGCAAAAUAAUUUCAUAAUGAUAUGGGGAUUCAAUCCAUCAAUCAGAUUCCAUCUCUGCAUAGAAAUAAUCUCUUUUUUUUUGGAAUUUUUUUUAUCAAAUUGAAGGCUGCAGCUUCAUAAUAUCAAAUUUUGAUUGAUAAGUGGUUGACAUAUGGGCAAGUGACAAUGAAAAAAAAAAAAAAAAAGGUUAAAAAGUGAUGAAAGAAAUGGCAUUUCUCUUAUUAAAAAUAUUUCACCACCAUGAUUUAUUUUAAUGAAUUUAAAAUUUUAAGGUAAUAAAUUUGAUUUUUAUUUUUCAAAUUUAUUAUAUCAAUCAUAAUUAAAGAAAUGUUAGUUUAGAGAAUUAAUUAAUUAAAAGGAAUGAAAAAGUUAAAAAGUAAUCACUUUUUUUUUUCAUACAAAUGUGAUUUAUUUAUAAGUAGCUUUUAAAAGAAAAUAUUAUUUUUGUAAAAAAUAAAUAAAAAUAUUUUAAUAAAAAAUAGUUAGAUUUUUAAAUUGAGAAUUAUUUCAUUAUUUUACAUUGUAAGAAAGAGAGAGAGCAUAAAGCAAGGGAUGAUGGAAUAAGAUAAAAGUAAAUUUUAUUUAUUAAAUAUAAAUUUUUCAUGAUGUUUUGGUGCAAGUGGCUAGUAGGAAUUUUCAUAAAGAGGGAAAAGAAAAAGAAAAAGAAAAGAUAAAAAUGAUGAGGGGGGCAUUAGCAUUUUCUUGAGUGGAAUGAGAGGAGAAUACAAUGAUGGGUCAAUCGGCUUACCCAUCAAGGAACCAGCAAAAUUGGUAGUAUGGUUCAUUGUGUGACUUCAAAGUUCAAAGCCACCCACUUUACCUUACCUUCUAUGUGUUCUCCCUUGCUUUCCAUGGAAAAUGGCCUUGCGAAAAUCAUGUUCCUAAUGAUACAUUUCUUGUCAAAGAAGGUGAUGUGGUGGAAUAAUGGAAAGUUUGUUGGUAAAGUUGAGUUUGGUUUCAAAGGGUUCCUCCUCAUGAGAGAAGUGCUAUUUUUGAAAUAAAUGUUCAUAACAACCUCUUCUUGCCAUGUACUCCACCUUCCAGAUUUCUUUCAAAAUAUUUGUUGAAAACUACAUCUUAACUAAACUAAUAUUAAUACAAAUUUAGAGAUCACAUCUUAAAGUUACAUAUUUAGAAACUGUAUUUUAAAAUUGUAGUUACUAAUCUCUAUAGAACCCCUAUUUCAAACUAAUUUUAAAAAAUAAAAAUCAAGUGCUUUCAACCAUACUUUUUCAAGGUGUCAAUGAGCUGCAUGCUGUUUGAUUGAUGAAAGGCUCUUUUUUCACCCAAAAUUCUUGAUUUAUGAUCUAAGGCCAAUGGGAAGCUGUCAGUUCAUUGACACUUGAUGCAACCCCAUAUGGAGCAGUGUAGCUGUGUCCACUGACCCACAUAUGAAGAUGCUGGCUCAACACCACAUAUAUCUAAGAGAGAGAGAGAGAGAGAGAGAGAGAGAGAGAGAGGCCACUUGGGCAUGUUGGUCAUAUGAUGUUAGAUAAGGUUAGUAUCCAGAAUACCAAAUAUCAGUGCCUCUGCUACAUCCAUUAUCCAAAACCUUAUGCAUAUAUGUGAUGGUCAAGAAAUGAUGGGCAAAGAGACCAGACAGUGAAAAAAAACAGAGAAAAAAUGGCAGCCAAAGUGGCUCUCUCUUCUUGUUUUUGCACUAGACUUCCACUCCCUUCCAAAUCAUCCUCACCAUCUUCUCUCACCCACACCCCCACUUCACCAAAGAAAAGGGCACAUCAUUUUAGCAUUCAUGCAAAGCUCGGUAAGAGUCUUGAACUCUUCAUCCCCCCAUAUUCAAUUUUGUUGGUUUCUUUCUUGUUUGCAUUUUGUUUUUGUGUUUUGGGUCAAAAUGAGGCUGAGAUGUCAAACUUUAUGGAGAUGGGUUUGGUGGUUUUAGGAGGAGGAGAUGGAGAGAUCAAGCAGGGAGGGAAGAAGAAGUUCAUAACUAGAGAAGAAGAACCAGAACAGUAAGCCUUCAACUAUCAUCACUUUUCUUUCAUCAAAACAUUGAAAUAUCAAUUCAUAUUAUAUUAUAUCAGUCAUCAACAACAGAGUUUUGUCAACUGUAGGUAUUGGCAAACAGCAGGAGAAAGGGAAGGGGAGAACCCCAUGAAGACCCCCCUUCCUUACAUUAUCAUAUUUGGUAUGUCCACCCCUUUUGUUAUCUUAGCCAUUGCCUUUGCUAAUGGUUGGGUUAAGGUACCUGUUCGAUGAUGUGAUUAUACUAAUCUGAUUUGAUUAGUAAAUCCACCAAGUGCCAUCUCAUGUAUAAGCAUAUACUUCUACAGAUCUGCUUUGAAUUUCCAUGUCAUGAGUUUUGCUAUAGUUUUGUUAAUACAACACAAUAAGCUUAUUAUGCCUUGUUCAACAAAAAAAGGGAGAGGACAGAGGAAGAGAAUUAUCAGAAAAGGUGAUUAAGAAUUGCAUAAUUCUGCUUAUAAGGGCAAGAUCCUGUUUUUUCUUACAUUAGCUCUCCUUCUAAACCUUAAAAGAAGGCUAUUUGGCUUACAUUUUCCCAAGCAAUAUCACUUAUACUGAGUAAAACCAACUCAAUAAAUGUCAACAAAGGAAAAAAAAAAAAAGUAAUGAAUUUUAGCCUCUGCGAGGCUUGUAUAGUACUAUUGUGACAUGUUUUGUGCAAAACCGAUGUGUUGAACUAAGUGCCACCACAUUCUGGUUCAUUUUCUGGAUGUACAAAUGAUUUAAAACGAAGGUUUGAGGUCUUGUUAAAGACUGGGAACUGUCCAUGGAGAACGAUGGGCCAUUUAAUGGUGUGAUUUCAGCUUGUGGAGGUAGCUCAGGUGGCUCCCUUUCAAAAUCUUGAGCUACAAGCUGUGGGUUGUUAUAGCUUGACCCUGGGGAAGAAGGGGAUUCAGGGUCCUCUGGAACAUAAUUCUGCACAGUAGAUAAACUAAUUUCUAAAAUAACAGUUGAUGUAUUCAAACAAUCAAAAGCAUCUAGGAGGAUCGUGAAUACUAAGGAUCAAAUUACAAGAAAAUAUAUAGCUUCACCCAGUUGUAAGGAUCUUUCAUGCAAUGGAAGAAAUCCUGCUGAAACCACACUAAAUGAGAGAAAUGUUCAUCAAAUACUACGGCAUUUUUCACAUGUAAAUGCAACAAACCAAGUUAUUUCUGCUGUAUGGAGGGUUUUGAUCAUAAGUUCUUAGUAUUUUUCCUGAAAUUUAUAUGAUGAGAAUGUGCUAGAGGAGUGGUGGAAACUAUCAGUAUGUUCUCUAUAACCCAAUAGGUUGCAGGUGCUGGCAUCAAAUUUCAUCUGUUUAACGCAUUCACAACCAAAUGGAGCCCUAAGAUUGUCGCAAGAGGAGUAUUAAGAUAGCUGUUUUCUGGGAAUUUGUUUAGGACUGAACCCAAGUGCAGGCAUAAUCCAGAGCCUCACAUCCCUGGCCAGGGUAUGGAGUGCAAGCAACAGCAAAAGCUUCCCUCCUCAGACAAGCAGCCUAAUUUACUUAGAUGUCAAGGUUGGCCUCGCUUCAAGGUGAAGCCUUAAAGGGGGUAAGCUUCAAAAGCGUAAAAAGGACUUUCCCAUCACUACAGAAUGCCUCAUUGUUGCCAGUAGAUUAAGAUUAUUUAUCAACUAGAGGCUUUACCAUAAAUCUGUGAAGUUCCUGUAGGAUGUUGAAUAGCCAGUGGGACUAGAAAGGGGCCCAAGAAAAAAUUUGGUAUUCCAGAAAAGAUCUUCUUGCCGAUUGUAUCCAGAUAUUUCAUCUCAUUUUCAGGUAAAACUUGCAUAAACUAGAAUAGAGAGGCAUUGAAACAAUGCAGCAGAGAGAGGCAUCUUUCCACAAACAAUAGUUCUAAGAAAAGGAUGCAACGAUGAUAUUUAGAAUGAGAAGCAUAAGUUUACCUUCAAGUCCAACACGUUAUAGGCAUACCCAGUAUUAUCAUAGACCAGAGGCAAUUCAGGGGUAUUUCUCCACUGUCCAUCAACAAUAAAUCGGAAGUGGUAAAUGCCUAAUGGAAGCACCUUUGUAAUACUGAACUCUUUGCCUGAUCCAGCCAACAGCUCUCUGAGACGGAAAAUGAUCCAUGUUAGUGCUGAAAGCAAAACAUGAGACAACUUGAAAGAAAAAACUUAGAACAUAUCCUUGUACUUUGAUUUCCAGUCAUCCCAUGAUCCCUCAACAGCUACUUGCUUGCCACCAUAGUUCCAUCUGAUCUGUAUAGUCACCCACCUCCCAUGGAGCAUGCCCUCAUUUUCUGUUGUAUUCCCCACCAGUGCACGGCCAUGGAUCUGCACACUCCUAACCGGUCUUUGUGAAGGAACCAUCAGGGGCUGGAAAAGGAAUGAGAAAACAAAAUGACUAUGGAGUUUUGUAUAAAUGUUUGUGUUCGUUUCUGCCUAAUGAAAUGAAUACUCUGCAGCUACCUGCCAAAUUCCACUGAAAAACAGGGCUACCGUUCCUUUUGUAGAGAGCAUCUCACAUCAUAUCGACCCGAAAAGGGCCAAAAAAUUAGGUUUCCAGAGGUAGAAUAUCACAAAUUUUCAUGGGUAACUUACAAAUUGAAAGUAAACUUUUCUUCAAAGAAAAAUUCAUCAAGCAAAAGAGUUUUAAUAACUAUGGGAAUCACAAACUCAAACUCCCUACAGAUCAGGGACUGAUAGUUACACAAAUGAAUGUUAGAACUGCCUGUCUAAACACCUGAACGAUACCGAUAUACUUCUAAAUUAAGACAUCAACACUAAGAAAGACUAAAUAUAGAGAUAAAAACUGACCUGAGGAGGGAGCAUUAUAGCUGUGAGAGAAGGCCCAAGGUUAUGGGAAGGGGCCAAACACACGGAUGUUGGAGAUGCACCACGCCUAAACUCCACAUAUUGCUCACACCCUUGGAACUUCUUAAUUCCAGAAUGGCCUUCACCAUUUAUCCCACCACCAACAUUGCCCAUUACUGAAAAUACAUAGCCAUCCAGUUAGGGCUAAAGGAGGGUUUUUGAAAAAUACUUUAUAAAACCAGUUUUUGUGAGCAAAAGAUCAGUACCAAACAUUAAGACAGAACAAACCAAUUGGCUAUGAAUACACACCAUGAAACCCAUACUGUGAAAAGUCCAUACACUGAUGGCCUUCUUCCCACUUCUUGACUCCAGAGUUGCCUUCUCCAUUUCUUCCAUGACUGACAUUACCCUUCACUGAAAACUAAAACCCAGUUGGAAUCUAAAGAUUGUUUUUCAAAAACGCUUUAUAGAAACAAAAUUGAACAAGAAAUCAAUAGCAAAAAAACAAAAGCAGAAAAUACCCUUUGACUAAGGGUACACACCAUGUGCAGAGUUCAUAUACUGUUGGCACUCUUCAAACUUCUUGAUUCCAGAAGGGCCUUCUCCAUCUCUCCCACCAUGAGGAUUGCCCGUUCCUGAAAACAAAAAUCCAGUUACCAUCCAAAAGGAUGAUUUUGAAAAACACUUAACGGAAACAAUUUCAAGAACAAACAAACCAAAAACAUCAUCAGAACAGACCCAGCGAUUGUCAACACUCACCAUGAGUUCCACCUGCAGAGGAUUCCAUAGACUGAUCAAAAUCUUCACACUCCUCCACUCCAUCUUUCCUAGUACUAACAUUGCCCAUCCCUGAAACAAAAACCCAGUUAGAAUAUUUGAAAAACACUUCACAAAAACAGUUCUUUUGAGCAACAAAAACAGAAACAGAACAUACCCAAAAGAAAACAGAGAAAUCAAAGCAAAGUCUGUAAAUUUCUGGGAGUUUGGUCACAUAACCAAGUCAUUAACAAAUCACAAACACAAAAAGGGAAGAAGAGAACCCAGAAUUAAUUAAAUGAGGCGGUAACAUUAUAUUAUAGCUUUGUGUUGAUAAGUGAUUGAUUGAUGGAAAGUGCUAUUUGUCUCUUUCCCUCUUUCCUUCUUUCUCUCCCUAAAGCAAAUAAUGGAAAGUGAUUUUAUUCUCCAAUGAGUUUGGAAGAUCCCUCCAUCGUGAUCAUGGCCUGGUUUUCAAAAGGGAAUGUUGCAUUGGCAUCAUCAAAAGGAGAAUUGCUGCAGCAUUGCUUCUCUGCGGUCCAUGCAGUUCCCACUCACAGCCCACCACGUGGUAUGCUGUUUCAUGAAGCUUUGAGAAAAGUAGUUGCAGAAGAUCAUUGCCCUUUUAUGUGGGAGAAUUUUAAAAUUUUAAUUUUUUUUUUUAGUGCAAGAUCCUGUUUUUGAAUUUAAUAGACUCAAUAUUACCUAGAUUUGGAUCCCUAGUGUUUCAUUUUGAUUUUAGAAGCCCUCAGCUACUAAAAACAUUUUAUAGUCGGCUAAACUCGAUUUAGAUUAUGCAAAGUACUUCAAAAGAAAAAUCGAUUUUACAACUAUUUUGAUUUUCUUGUACUUUUCUUUUUGUUUUCUUAUUUAUUUUCUUUCCCGAAACUUUCUAAGAUGACAUAAGGGUUAAACAACUUGGUUUUCAACUAAUUCAAUAGCAUCUAAGGUUCUUAGACUAAUCAUACCAACUUGAACUAGGCUUAUUUAUAGCUAAUUUCUCCUCUGACCACUUGCUCCAACAGCUCAACUUAAUUGAAGAAAAAAAAAAGUAAUAAUAAUGUAUACUAUACAAGCCAAAAUUUAGUUUGAUAUAAGACAUGCAGAGUGAUUAAAGUAGUUGUUCAUAUAUAAUAAUGUAGAUGGGUUCAAAGCAUGGCCUUAACUUAUUCUGUUGGAUAACUUUCCCUCAGAACUAUGUUCCAUGGGAAUAAAAUUACAAGUUCCUUGAGCUCCAAAUAGAAGAAGAAAAAGGGAACCUAUACCCACAAACUGAACAAUAUUAUGUAAAGGAAUCCAAAUUCCAAACCCCAUGAGGUGGAAAGAGAAGACUUAUGUGUAUAUAAAUAUGAGUGGCAGUUGGUUUGCUUUUUGCUACCCCUAUGAGAAAUAGGACACAUAAAAAAGAGUACCAGGCAUUCUUUCAUAAAAAAUGAGCUCCCAAUCUACCAUGCAAGGCCCUUUUCUAUUUGGGUCCUGGAGUAUCUAUCUAUCUUCCCAUGUGACUUGUCCACAUUUUGUGGUUGUUGGGCAUCAUUUUGAUGACUCCCAAUGUGAAAAAGAGCUCAUUGCUUUUGUGGGGAAAAGAAGUUUAUAAACCAAAUAAUGGCCUUUUCUGGACAAAAAAAUCUCAUUGCCAUCUAAACAAAAAGGAAAAGGGAACCUUCAUGAUCAGCACUAGAAGUCACUUUCAAAGUUCUAAAUGAUCUUUGUUGUAUGAGUUUGAAUUCCAUGAGAUUAGUGAAGUAUAUAUGAAGUGGACAUCUCCUUUUGUCCAUCCAAUGAAUGAUAACAAGCUCAAAAGUAAUGGAGAUGCUGAGCAAAUCCUAGGCUUGCAAUUUACUCAUCUUGGGUCAUUUUGCCUUUGAAAACAAUGGUUGUGAGAAUCAAAUGUGAGUGAUUUUCUCUUCAAGAAUCCUUAGCAGGAAGGUAAAGGGAAGAAAAAUAGAGAAAAGAGAAGCCCACAUACACUAAAGAAAGAGAGUUGGUCUUGAAUAGAAUCAUAUAUUUUAUAUCUAUAGGUUGGUAGUUAGAAGUUGGCCUCAUCACAUAGGAGGAAGAUGUGACAAGGGGAAGAGCAUCUGCCCUAGUCACCUUCAAAGGCCCACCUCCCAUGGCAACAUAUUCUAAUUGGGACAAUUGUUUGGAGCCACAAAAAUGUCCCUCAACUGAUAUGAUCAAUAUAUUAAUGCACUAAUGCUUUGUUUGUUUGCCGAGGAGACGGGGAAACCAAUACCAAAUUCAACAGAUACAGUGCUUUUAUCAGCAUGAAUAGAGGCCUGUCACACACUGAAAAUGUGUACUACUGCACAUACAAGAAGCCAAACCAAGAAAAGUAUAUGUAGAUGCAGACAUCCUUGAGGAAAAAAAUAGGGUGUUUGGCCUAAUUUUUGGGAUUUUUCAAGUAAAAUCCUUGUGGUUAGAAUAUAGUGCUUGGUCAAAUAUUCCAAGGCAUUUGGAAAACCUCCUGGUUUCUUUGUCCAAUGGCAGCCCAGACCUUUAUGAACAUGGGCCUAUGUAUAGUAUCUCUGGAUGCUAGCUAGUAUGAGUGUUUUAAUUCCCUUCCUGAUCAUCUCUCUGAGGACUAGAACCCUUAAUCAAAAGCAAGAUUUCAUGGGCCUAGGUUUCUUCUUUUCUAAGGCUAGCAAGCCUCUUUUGACUCCAUGUUUUUGUGCUGAAGAAGUUGCUUGUAAAGGAGUCAUGAAAGAAUGAAGGUGGGGGAAACAUCAAAUACAUACAUUUUCCUGGUAAUGACUCAUGAAGAUGGUUCAAGUUUAUGAGUUUGAUCCAAACUCAGUAAUUUAGAUACAAUUGUGUAAUCCUUGUAGCUCUUCUGCAUCCCAAAGUAUCGCGUAAAGCAAAAACAAAACCAAGACUAAUCCACCUUGAAGUAUGAAGUUUGUGAUGGAUAAGAGCAAAGUAAUGGAAAAAGUCCAUGUGACAAGCAUGGGGGUGACAGUUUCUUGCAAUUUUUGUUGAUGAUUUUGCUCACAUUCUGAAAGAAAAGAUACAUAUAUAAACAAAAGUAUUAGCUAAAAGUCAUAGCUCAAGAUUCAAAGCAAGAUUAUUAACUUAGCAAAUUCCACUACAACAAUGAAAAUAGUUAGAUCAUGGUCCCCUACCAUUCUCAUUAACCGAUGAUCAGUACAGCUAAAACAUUCCUUAAGUCACUCUCCAAAACACAGGUCGGAAUUGUUGAUCUCAAUUCAUUCUUUCAAGACAAAAAGCUUCUCCAAGCUCGAAAACACUUUUAUUUUACUACAUAUAAUAAUCUUGAAGUCAAGUUUGUUUCCAAUGUUUGUAGUCAAAUUGUAGAGCAAAGGAGUUUCCAUUUAGGGAUUCAUGUGAUUUUGCUUUACUAGUACAACUAGCACCUGCAACUGGCCGGCAAGUGGCACCGCCAUCCUCGCUUUCUUUCGCUUUUCCUAGCACAAUUUUAAGCCUUACUUGUUUCCUAGGAUGACGUUGUUUAUGAUCCACUAGAUUAGCAGUCAUCAUUAGACUAUGAAGUUUGGAAUGGUUUCCUCUCACUACAGUGCAAAAAAUGUGAAAUUAAUUAUUUAAUGAUCGAUAAGGAUUUUUUUGAGAAAGCAAUUAGCAUGGAGAGAUCAGCUAAGAAGUGGAAAAUAUAGAAUUUGUGCAGAGAUUUCUUGGAGGAUUGUGAGUUGUUAUAGAUUGUUUUAGGCCAACAUCUGGGCACCUGAGCUCGAGUUAUCUUAAUGCUCCACUUCUUGUUUGAGGAAAUUAAUCAUUUCCAAGUUGAAGUUUUGGCUCUAAUGAAUAAUUCUUUCACAAUCGUACAACUAGGAACUCUAUGAUCUCCUUCUGUCCCCCACAAAUUUUCUCAAUGCCAACAAAAUUUUGAUACAGUGCACCGUAUCACAAAUACUGUUUCCUUGAAUCAAUUUUGCUAUUGAGAGUUAGGUUUCAGCCCAAGUUCAAGUUGAAAUAAUAGAAGUACUUGACUUGUUACCCCCACAAAUUAAGUUGAAUGAUUAAAUUUAUAGUUUAACAUGAUAUCAAGGUCUUGUUUCAUGAAAAAUUUAUUUUCAUCAAUUUAUUAAGUCUACAUUAGUUCAAAAGAAGAUUGUGAUAAGGCCGGGUGUCAACCCUUUAGGUUAAAUUGAUGACUUAAUCAAAGCCAUAUAAAACAUUAUGUCUUAUUUUUCCUUUUAAGUUAAAGGAUUAAGUAAUAUUGUUACUGAUUUUAGAAUUAUCUAACCCUAAAAUGUACUUUUAAGUUUUAUAAUUAAAUUGAUAGUUUAAUAUGAUAUUAUAGACGUGUUUCAUAGAAAGGUCAUUUUCUCCUAGGUUAAAUUGAUAACCGAUCCGGUAUAAACUUUGUCUUAGAGAUAACCAAGUAGUAUUAGUACUCAUCUUAGAAUUAUUUAACACUUAAACGUGGGUUUGCAUCAUAAUUUGAUUAAUUAAGCAAAGACUUGAAAGUUCAUAGUAAUAACUACAAAAAAGGAAUUGUUGCUGAACAUAUUGUAUUUCAACUCAUCUGCAUUCUCUUUUUUGGACCCUUCAGCAGAGGAAAGGCCUAAAUGAUCCUAAGCCACACAUGGGGUUGGACAGAUGGAAAGUCUUGAACUCCACAACAUGAAAUCAUCAUGGACAGAAUAGAGAAUGCAGAAGGAAGAAACAGUCAAAUUCCACACUCAACACAAAGCUAAUUCAAGGAGUGUGGAAAACACAGUCCAAUGAAACCCACGAGUAGGCAUCAACUUGAGCCAAGCCUGCAGGCUGCAUCGCAAGAGUUUGCGUGGGCGUGGGGCUAAGAUUCUUGGUUAGGAGGAGACAUGUUGAUGUCCCAUAUGUUAAAAGCAAAGCUAAAGCCAUCAUUAGGGGCGCAAACCAUUUGCAAGAGGGGGUGGACCACCAGCAGAAUUCAUAAGGAUUAGGUCUUCCUACCAGAAUAGGAUUACCAUACCCCAGUUGAUGUAAGAUUUGUUUGAAUCAAGAAAAGGAAAGGAAAACAAAAGAUUAUCGUUUGGGGUUUCUAUUUGAAUCUAUCUCCAUGCAUGGGAAAGUUGACAUUAAUGUUUUGUUUGGUUGCUGAGAAAGCUUAAGAAAAUGAAAAACCCUCACAGCUCCUUGGAUGAUACAUGCCUUCCCUUUUUCAACACAUUUCUUUUCUUUGCCACCAAGCAAAAAAAAAAUAAAAAUUUCUCAUAAGGUAUAAUCAUUAAAGGAAAAACAUAAUUCCAGAACCUCAGAAUUUUUCUCUCUUUUUUUCUUUCUCUUUUUGAAUAAUAGCCUUCUUUACUGCUUUUCAGAAAAACAAUUAAAAAAAGAGACUAUUGGCCGCUGGGAACAUUUUGAAUUUUGAUACAGACCCAUAUAUGUGUUUAGAUUAAGCUGGAAAAAAAGACUGGUAUUUUUUUCUUGUAUGGUCUUUUUCUCUACCAAAAUCUCUUGUUGGUUGUUGUUUCUAAGGAGUGCACCUCUGGCAUAAUAAGUACAGGGGUUCAUGGGCUUUUCACAAGAGGUGGAAUAGGAGAAUCAUGUGAGCUCUGCGGGUGUGUGUAUGUUGUGAUGUCAUUGCAGCAAAGGCUCUGAAUGUUGACCGAGGGCCUCCGCUUCUGAGCUCCAGUCUUCCAUAAAGACUACUGAGAAAGCCUUGAUGGGUGUCAAUGAAGCAGCAGAAUCUGACAGAGCAGUGGAUUCAAUGAUGGGUUUGAAUCUAAUGGGCACAGAAACGUUUGAACCCACUAUUGGUUACUGAACAGGAGUUGGUGAUUUUGAGUUAAUCCAGAGGUGACAUUUAGAGGAGAGGCAGUUUCAGUUAAUGGGGUUGAGUGAUUCAGACAGAAAAAUGAGUAACCAAACUGGGUCUUUUGCCUUUGGGUGAUGGGUCUUGUCCAUCUGUGAAGAAGCUCCAGGUAUGGUUCAGAUAUAAUGGUUUUCUUGAAGUUGCAGAGAAAUGGAGGAAGGAGAAAAAUAAUAUAAUAUUUUUUGGCUCUCUUAUUGUUUUAUUUAUUUAUUUUUUUUCAUUGAUGUUGGAGGGAAAGUGCCAUGUGGUGAGCUCAGAGGCCUGCACAUGGCUUCUCCCAUUUCCAAGCUCUGCGAGUGUAAACCAAUAGAGUAAAACCAAGGGAUUUGAGGUUUUCAAGAGAAUCAGGUGCAGAGAAAAACCACCUGAUUGGCGUUAGAUAAAAAAAACCCAGUUUUUUAGGAGCAAUGGAGGAGUUGGGAACUGUGAGUCUGUGAUCAAAGAAACAACCCAGAAAUUAUAACUUCAGUGCAAGUUUUCAAUUGUUUAAGAGGAAAAAAGCCAUUUUCUUUUCUUUUCUUUUUUCCUCUUUGCAAACCGGUUCAGGUACAUCUGUUGAUCUCUCACACCAUUGUACAGCUUAUGUUCACACUUUGUUUAUGUAUUAAUAUGAUCUGAAGAUUGAUCUAUUCCAAUAUGAUAUAAACCUUUCCUGUUUUAGCUAUGUGUCUUUGUUGAUAUCUAAGCAAGAAAGUAGUAGAGAUUGAAAGUUUGAAACCACCUUCCACCCAUUUGCAGUCUCUAUUUUUUUUUCAAUCCAAGGCAGAUCCAUCAAUCAAUUAUCACUGUCUUAGUGUCUCUUAGUAGCUAUCUGUUUUGCUUGUGUUGGAGCAAGAAAAGGACAAAGUCCUUUUUUGCUGUUUCUGGUUCUGGUUCUUGUUCUGUUUCUUCAAGUACCCAUCAAUCUGUGUUUUGGUUUGACCCUCCUUGGAGCCCAAUAAAAACCCCAGAGUUUUCCAUCCACUUUCAUCUUCUCCAUUUUGACCCCAUUUGCAGUCUCUUCAAUCCAAUGGUCUUGAACCACAGAGUUGAGGAUCAAAUGGCUUCUUCUCUGUGUUUCCUCAGAAAUCCACUGCCUUGGGUUGCAGCUCUUGUCCCAGUUUUGAUAUUUGCAGGCUUUCUGGGUUUUGGGGUGUUGUCCAUCCUCAUCACAUCUUCAGCUUUGAUCUUAUCUACUGUCCUCUUCACAUUCUCAAAGCAAAGGCCAGUGGUGGAGGAGGAAUCACUGAAAGAAGAAGAAGAAAAAGUAGAAGAAGAAGAAGAAGAAGAAGAAGAAGAAGAGGUUCUCAGGUCUGAUCACCAUGAGAGUCUGCCUCACAUGGAGGAAGUUGCAUCCAGAACACAGACUGAAACUGAUACCAUCAUACAGAGGGAUGAAGCCCAAGAGAGUGGAAUGAGCCAUCAGAUGAAUGAGUACAUAGAUGAGUCUCCUGAUUCACUAUCAAAAACUGAAAGCCUUGAUCAAUCAUCAACGAGUGAUGAGUCUGAAGUGGAGUGGCCAUUCCCAGACAAUGCAGGCCAGAGUCCAGAAUGCUCUGAUGGUUCAAUUUCUGAUGAGGAUAGCCUCAUUGAAAUAGCACUCCUGAGUGGGCACUAUGUUGAUCCUAAACAAGAAGACCCCAAGUUCAACUCACAGAAAAAACUGCCAGACUUCACACCAGACUCAAUUUUCCAGCAACACAGUACUCUAAUGGAGCUCCUAGCAGAGAUGAAUGAGAUGAAUGAGGAGGAAAACUUGAUUGAGAUUGACAUAUCCAUGGGAUCCAUCAAGUGUUCAAGGUUUGAGAUUGAAGCAUGAGCAUGAGCAAGUGUUGUAAAAGUAACUUUCUCUCUCUCUCUCUCUCUCUCUUUUAAGUACUUUUUAUGUUUUUGAUCCAUUUGGAUUUGGCUUAAAGAAAGAAUUAGGGUUUUGGGGGUUUAGGAUUUGAAGCUUAUGCGGCUGCUUCUUGACCUCACUUCCAUUGACCCAAAGCCCUCACAAACCUUGGAUACCCCCAUUAAAGCAGUUGUACUAUCAACUAUGGGCCUUUGUUUUCUCUUAAUAUGAAGAACACUAAAGUAUUAAAAGUUUAGAAAGGCCAUCAUCAAUUGAUGGGAUUCCACUUGCAUUUCUUUAUCCACAAAUAUAUCUUUUUCUAUAAUCUUCUUGUCCAUUUGGCAUCAUCUAAUGCUUCAAAGCAUACAUUUAAUGGGUCCUAAAGACAACUCAAGGCUGAGAAGAACCCAUGAUGCAGAACUAUUCCAAAAGAUUUGUGAUCCAAUUCACAUGACCCAGUAUCAAUUUCAUGUGAUUUCUAUGGAUUUUAAAAGAAAUACAAGGUUGGUUCCAUUUUUUUUUUUUUUUUUGGUGAUCUUUGGUGGAAAGGAAAGAGCCAAUUGAAAAGAAAUUUAGCAUGUUUAGAUUAGACAUUAACCAUGUUUGUGUCAUAGUAAAACAAUACGAAUUUUAGUAUUUUCGUGUCAUAAUCGUAUCAACUCAUAUAAUUGGUUUAAUGAAUGAGAGUGUUUGGGUUUGACUACUUAAUAAGUAUUACUCAUUUACUUAAUCAUAUCAAGAUAAACCCGCUUAUAAUUCAUUUAAUUUAUCAAUUUUAGACAUUUAGGAAACUUUUUUUGUUAAGUGAUUUUAUACACUUAGGAAAUUAUAAAAUUAAUUUUUUUUUAUAAUUAUGAAUGUUAUUAUAAUAACUUUUAAAAAUAAAUAAAUAACGAGCUAAAGCAAAAUUUUAUAUAUCUAUAAUUAAAAUAUUAAACAAGAAUUAUAAAUGGUACAAAAUUAAAUUUUUAUUUAUUUUCUACAGCAUAUAUAUUAUAAUUUAAAACAAAAUAAUUAAAUUAAUUAAGAUAUCAAAAAAUUAAACUUAAAAGUUAAGAAAAAAAUUUUAAAAUUUUUAAGAAAAAAAUUCAAAUCAUAUUAUAUUAUAUGUAAGAUAUACAAAUUUAUUUUUAUUUUUAUUUUGAAGCUAAUGGUUUCUAUUUUAUUGAGUUGAAAAGCUACAACAACUCAUCAAGGCAGCUUUGCAGAGCUUUUAUUGAUUAAGGCCCCUUGAAUAAGCCUUUUAAAAGCCAUGACUAUGCUUUUCAUUUUAUAUUUUCUUUAAAGAAAAAAGUUUAAUAAAAUCCUUUUAGAUAAACUUUUAAAUAAUUUUAUUAAAUAGUUUAUGACUUAUCAAAAAAGGUUUAAUAUAGAAGUGAAAAAUAUUAUGUGUUGUAGAAACAUGAUAUUAGUCCACAAAAUUAGGAUUUUGAUGUAUUAUUUGACUUGUGACUAUAGUUGAAAACAAAAAAUUGUCUCAAAAGGAGUUGACCAUUCCUUCGUCUACGUUUCUUGAAGCGGCGUCGUUUUGAGGCUUUGUAAACAAUGAUGAGCAGCUUCCACUGCCUAGCUCUUUCCACUUACAACGACGCCGUUGUGAUCUCGCGGUUUCGGAAUCGAUGGUGCUUAGGAUGCCACGUGUAAUAAUAAGUAGAUAGAGUAAGUCCACGGCUCAUUGACCUUUCUGACCCUGGGUGUUCGACUCACCUCCAGCCAAGCAUCAGCCGGCCCAAGAUUCUCCACUAACUCAUUACGUGGUCACACCUCCAGCCGUCAAAUUCCCCGUCCCUACUACGCAUCGGACGUCCCAGGAUCACCCACGUGAACCAUGCUUAUCGACAAACAAACGGUCCUAAACCAACCACGUGUCGCACCCGAUGCCAUAUUACUUCGACGAUCCAACGGACCCAACACCUCCUCCUCUGCAACCACGCUUCUCUUCACCGGAGUGACGUUUUUCCGGCCAGUCCCUGCAAAACCCACGUUAUACCCUGGUUUCCUCCUCCGAUUGGCUCAAUUCGCGACCCUCAAGUCAUGAUUUCUUGAUAAACGAAGUAGGUGAAGAUCGAAAUUCAUGGCGGAUUCAGACAACGACUCGGGUGGGCACAACAACAGCAACGCCAACAGCGAGCUGUCGGCGAGAGAGCAAGACCGAUUCCUGCCGAUCGCAAACGUGAGCCGGAUCAUGAAGAAGGCGCUGCCGGCAAACGCGAAGAUCUCCAAAGAUGCUAAAGAGACGGUGCAGGAGUGCGUGUCGGAGUUCAUCAGCUUCAUCACUGGAGAGGCCUCCGACAAGUGUCAGCGAGAGAAGCGGAAGACGAUCAACGGCGACGACUUGCUGUGGGCGAUGACGACUCUGGGGUUCGAGGAGUAUGUGGAGCCCCUAAAGAUAUACCUGCAAAAGUACAGGGAGAUGGAGGGCGAGAAGAGCUCCUUGGGAGGGAGGCCCGGCGAGAAGGACGGCUCCGGCGGGGGCGGAGCAGCUGCGGGAGGUGGGGGCGCGAUGAGCUCCGGCAGCAGUGGGGGUUUCAAUGGGGGUGGGAUGUACGGUGGGAUGAUGAUGAUGGGGCAUCAUCAGGGACAGGCUUACGGCUCGGGUUCGUUUCAUCACAUGAGCAGCUCGGGCAGCGGUGGCGGCGGGGGCGGAGGAGUGGGUAAGAACAACACCGGCAGUUCGAGCGGCGGCGGUGGCGGGGUGGCGUCAACGGUGAGGUCAAGGUAGGUAAAAGCUAGUUAGGUUAGGUGGUUGAUGAAAAGUGACUACUUUCUAGGGUUCUAAUUGAAUUUUCAAUUUUUUUUUAACUUUUUUUUUUUUGGGGUGGUGGGGAGGAGUUGAUGACUUAUGUUAUAAUAUGUAAGUGUAAUUGUGGGAAUUAAAAGAGAUAAAUGCAAUGCAAAUAGUCUGUAUCUGUAACCUCUAAUCAUAAACUUCUAAUUGAGGAUGAUAUUUGAGAACCUUCCUCUUCUUUUCUACCUGUUUAAUUUUUAUUUUUAUACAAAAUAUUAAAAUUAAUCAUAAAUAAAUAGCAAAAUCAAAUUAUAAUUUAUGGGUUUAAGUGUGGUAUGGUUUCUAUAAAUGGGGUGGCAUUUGGAGAAAGGGGGAGGGUGAAUGGGUGAUUGGGGUUUGAUAUUUUUGGCUUUGAAGUGGAUGUUACUUGUUAGUUUGCAUGUGGAAAUCUCUAAACCACUUCCAUUCUUCCAUUUCAUUGUCGGCCAGGCCAUUACCAUAUAACCCAUAAAAUCUCCUGCUUUUAAGUUGGACGUGACGCCCUUUCGGCCUUCUGUUUAGUAUUUAGAGUCACUUGUUAAAACACAUGAAAGCGAAUUCUUUAGAGUGAUCUAAACAACAAUUAAAACUAUGGAGAGUAUUUUAAAAACUUUACAUCAUAUGGUAUUUUUAUUAAAAAUAAGUUAGAAAAUUAUUUUUUAUAUUUGAGUUUUCAAAUAGAAUUUUGUUUUUAAAAACUUUAUGAUAAAAAAUUGCUCUUAAACCUGUUUUUAAAAAAUACUUCCAAAAGUUAACACUUUCCACUUUUACAAAUAUUUAUAUUUUCUAUUUUGUUGAGUGUUUUUGCAUUUAUAUUAUUAUUAUUACUAUUUUAAUAACUUUUUAUUACAUGAAAUUAGAACUAUUUUUCCUAGCGUCUCUGCAACGGAUUAAUUUCAACCUUACAUCGUGGGCUCCCCCAUAAAGCCCUGAACCCGUGUGCUCUCUUUUGGGCUUCACUAAUUGCAGGCUACUCUAACCAAAUCUGGACCCUUAACUCACACUUGCUCUCUUCCAUUUUGGUAAAUGAAUCGAAACUUGGAUUGACAGAACAAAAGAUGGCCACUCACAAGUCACAAAGGACGCAAAACGCAUUAAAAGUAGCACAAAGACAGCAGCAAGGAUCUGGGCCACGGGAAUCAAACGAGAUGAUUUGUUCUUAGUUCCUUUGUGAGGAGCAUAUAAUUACUAUCAUCAUUAAUAGGCUUACAGGUGUCUUUAUACUACAAAGUGCUAAAGUGCUAGCUUUCAAGAAGUGCACAACAGUUAUCAAAGCCCAAAGCAGCAAUGAGCCUCUUUAUGUGCUCCUUAAUGGACAUGGUUUGUUCAUGCAUUAUUAAGCUAUUCUUUUUAACAUCUUUCUUAACGCACUAAAAUCCUUUCCGAGAGAUUAUUUAAACCUAAAAGAAGUUAUUGAAGAUCAAAUGCAAUGAAUAACAACCUAAAGCAACUAGGUCGGGUUGACCAGUAUAGUUUGACUUAAAAAGUGCUAACUAGACUUAAAUAGAAGGGAUUACAAUGAGAUGAGUUUUUUCGUUCAGAAUUUCAGAAAAGUUUAAAUGAAUUACGAUUAGAUUAACAUUUAAAAAAAAAAACCAUUGGUUAUGUGACACUAAAUUUGAGCUAGAUUCAAGUAUUUAUUUGCUCCCUACUACCUUAUCCCUAUUAUAUAUAUAACAAAAUAAAAAUAAACCAUUUUUAAUAUCUAUAAAAAUAAAAAAUAUUCUCUUAAUUUAUUUUCUAAAAACUUAUAAUAUUUUUUUAUUUAUAAAUUAUAUUUAAUUUUCAUAUAAUUAAAAAUUUUAAAAUAAAAAAUAAAAAAAUAAAGUCGGGCCAAAUGCAUAGAGAAUGGGACCUGACCCACCCUGCUCUGUUUAAAAAAGUUUUAUUUAAGACAAUAAUGAUAAUAUAUUUAAAUAAUGAAGAGAGAAUUAGGAUUGGUGACCCAUCUUUUUGCCAUCCCUAGUAAGAGGAAGUCCUAAGCCCAAGCCCAUGUAUGCCCAUGAUAGACAAGUCAUGGCCCGCAAGAGACGAUUAACACCGAAUCCUAUUGACAACGAUGAUAGGGAAUGCGAGGAUGAGUAGUGGGACCUUAUCACAACAUUUCAUAGCAAAAAGUUGAUUGUUACUUACAUUUAGUGUAUAUUUUGCUUCAAAUUCUUCAUUAAUUAAACAAAAGAGAUGUUGUGGCAUAUGCAUCAUCACACAAAAUUUUCUAUUACAUGUUGUAAGAUUUCUCGAAACAAAAUUCUUAUUUUAUGUUUUGGGGAAGCAAAUUUUUUGUUCAAAUUCAAUUUCUUCUACCACUCCAAACACACCUUAGGACUCCACCAACCAAAAUCAUGAAAAUCUUCUAAAUUACCUAAUCAUCUGCUUAGAUUUGAAUUGCAGCGGUACAAGUACAACAUAAGAAAGUGUGUGGGUGUGUGUGAUUUGAGAUAUUGUACGACAAAGAGGUACAAGGAGCUGUCGGCCUUGUUUGUGAGUGAGUGAGUGAGUGAGCGAGCGAGCGAGCGAGUGACUUGAGUCGGAGUGCGAGUUCGAAAAGAAAAUCCUAACCGUCAAAUAAUUUUUUUUUUAAAAAAAAAAAGAGUCAGUGGGGGCAUCAACUGACAUCUCACACACAAAUCAUCACCAUCCACGUCUACGUACCUGUAAGUGGCAUCUCCAUUACAGUCUGGCCUUUUUUGGGGGUACGUUGCCACCGACACUUACGGGUCCCACGUGUCACCCUCAUUCAAAAAAUAAGUAAAACAAGAAAUAAUUAUUAUAUUAAUAAAGGCAGGAGGGAGAAAAAGAAAGGGCGUGCAAGCAUCAGCAUAUGAACAUGAGCGGGGAGGAAAUGAAGCGGACAUGAGAAAAGGACAUAGUUUGUUGUCUAAAAUAUACAACAACAACCAAUUUUUUGGUGGAUACAGGUGGGCCUUUAAUAUAGCCAGAUUUUGCUUCUAUACUUUCAAUCUCUCAUUUUCUAGAAUGCUUUCACUUUUUUCUUAAUUUAUACAGCUGGAUCUUACUAAUCCCUUCCCACCAACGGUUUGGAAAAUGAUUCUUAUUUUGUAUUUUUUUUUUAACGGUUUGGUCCUAUCUAAAAAAAAUACAAAAAUAAUAGGUAAUUCCUUGUAAUAUGUCAACUUGUUCAUAUGAUACAAUCAUGUAUUCAUUUUUGUUGGUUUAGUUUUUAUAAGAUUAUAUCUGUUUCUUGAAAACGUAUCAAUAUGAAGGAAAAUAAUUUUUUUAAAUUAUUAAAAAAAAAUCUCUCUAUUUAAAGAAUAUUCAAAGAAUUUUCUGAAUUAAACUUAUAUAAGUAUAAUAGGAUAUAAAAAAAAAUGUGAAUGAAGAUUGAAAAAACAAUGCAUAAAGAAGCAUGAGACAUGUGAGUAAAGUACAAAAAAAAACGAUGAAUAGGAAUAAAAAGUGUGAAUGACUCAUGCUAUAUGUAAAAGUUAAAUAAUAAAUAUUAAAACUUUGAUAUGAGACCUUUUUGGAUGUUAUAAAUUCCACCAUUUUCAUUGACAGUUUAGAGAAGCAUAGCAUUCUUUGCAUGGAGUACAAGCAACAUUAGUUAUAGAUUCUGCAAAGAAAUUGGCAUAUUUAUAUGAAUGAAUAUUGAUUGAAACUUAACUUUCCUUUUUGUUGUGCUAAGCACGAGGCAAAAUCAAACUAGAUACUGCUUUUAUUAAAGCUGAACCAAGGGGGGGGGGGGUCCCAAAUGUCCAUCUCAAAAUGGUGGGUGAUGGGUAAUAGGGUAUCAUAUUUUGAAUAACAGCCCAUUACAUGAUUGAGGUAGUUGAAAGUGUAUAUUAACACAUUACUAACAUUGUAUGAUACCUAACCUUCGGCUAAAUAUUUUACGCACACUCAAAUGAAGGUAGAUUUGAAAUUGGAUUUUUUUUUUUUUUUUUACUAGGACUAGGGAGCCUUAAAGAUUCAAUGCCUUUGGUCUCUCCAACUAAGCAUUGGGCCAUGCUUACAUGUACUUUGAAAUAGUCCUUUAGGCCAUUGAGCCCUAGUUCUCAAAAUCUUCAUCAUUACCAAAUCAAUUAGUCUAUUUAAAUAUAUACAAAUUAAAAAUAUAAUUAAGAUAUGACUCAUAUGAGGAACAUGAUAAAAAUAAAAAUAAAAAUAUUAUCAAAUAAUAAGAAUAAAAACAGGUAUAACAUUUUGGUAUUAGGUCUCUCCUACAAUUUUCUAACGUGUGAUCAACCCAAGGAGAGAGUUUGGUUUGGUGGGAUUUUCAAUCUAAAACUGUCAAUUUGCAAAUAAAAAUGAUGUGUGCUAUUAAUGACUACUCCAAUCUCUAUGAAAGAUGUAUAGAUGUGGAAAUUCUGUACUUGGAAAAGAGUAAAGAAUUUAGAAUUACCUUGAAGUAUGAGUUUCAAAGCUGUGGAAUAGAGGGUCCCAUGGCCAUUUUGGUUCCAAGGUGGCAUGAUUUUGUGGUCACUCUACCUGUGACAGAUAAAAUAUGCCCACAAAAGGCCAUUAUAUACACUGCCAUCACUGCAGAGCGCCUCUACCACUCAAUUCUCUGCUUCACAGUUCACACCACCAUCUUCCUAUCUUCAUCCUUACCGGCAAAAUGCAGCACGCGCCGGUCUUCACGCGUCUGCUUACUCUCUCGGUGUGCUUGCUCUUCCUAUCCUGCGCCACCCAUGCGCACAAUAUCACUCACAUCCUCGCCAAGUACCCGGAGUUCUCGACCUUUAGCCACUACUUAACCGUCACCCACCUCGCCGGCGAGAUUAACCGCCGACAGACUAUCACUGUUCUAGCCGUUAGUAAUGCUGGAAUGGCGGAUCUUCUCUCCAAGCACCUCUCCGUUUACGUCAUCAAGAACGUGCUCUCCCUCCACGUUCUAGUUGACUAUUUCGGCGCCAGGAAGCUCCACCAGAUCACCGACGGCACCGCCUCGUCUGCGACUUUGUUCCAGUCCACUGGAUCCGCUCCCGGAACCGCCGGUUUCGUUAACAUUACCGAUCUCAAGCACGGAAAAGUCGGAUUCGGAGCUCAAGACAGCGGCCAUCUCAACGCCUACUUCGUUAAGUCGGUGGUGGAGAUUCCGUACAACAUCUCCGUGCUAGAGAUCAGCCAGAUCUUGACUUCAGCUGUGGCGGAAGCUCCGGCGGAGGCACCGAGCCUGAAUCUGACGAUUAUGUUGAGUAAGCAAGGCUGCAAAGCGUUCGGCGACUUGUUAGAAGCUUCUGGAGCCAUAAAAAC